AGUUAACGCUGGCAUCGUGCAUAACACAUGCAAGUCGAACGGGACUUUGCUUUGUAGUAAUACAAAGUAAAGUUUAGUGGCAGACGGGUGAGUAAUGUAUAAGAAACCUACCUCUGAGUGGGGAAUAACAGUCCGAAAGGAUUGCUAAUACCCCAUAACAUAUCUAGAUGGCAUCAUUUAGAUAUCAAAGAUUUAUCGCUUGGAGACGGUCUUAUAUUCUAUCAGCUAGUUGGUGGGGUAACGGCCUACCAAGGCGACGAUCAGUAGCCGACCUGAGAGGGUGACCGGCCACAUUGGGACUGAGACACGGCCCAAACUCCUACGGGAGGCAGCAGUGGGGAAUAUUGCACAAUGGGGGAAACCCUGAUGCAGCGACGCCGCGUGAGUGAAGAAGUAUUUCGGUAUGUAAAGCUCUAUCAGCAGGGAAGAAAAUGACGGUACCUGACUAAGAAGCCCCGGCUAACUACGUG
This 470-nucleotide ribosomal RNA is filed under the name uncultured bacterium. Its description in RNAcentral is "bacterial SSU rRNA". It matches the Rfam family "Bacterial small subunit ribosomal RNA", at positions 29 to 507 of the family's 1533-position model. The record is from RNAcentral.